AGCAGCCGCGGUAAUUCCAGCUCCAAUAGCGUAUAUUAAAGUUGCUGCAGUUAAAAGCUCGUAGUUGAAUUUCGGGACUAAUAUGUCGGUCGUGCCUCGGUACGUACUGGUUUAUUGGUUUCCCCUUUCUGAAGAACCAUGAUGUCAUUUAUUUGGUGUCGUGAGGAAUCAGGACUGUUACUUUGAAAAAUUGAGUGUUUAAAGCAGGCUCGCGCUUGAAUACAUUAGCAUGGAGUAAUGAAAUAGGACGUUUGAUUCUAUUUUGUUGGUUUCUAGGAUCGACGUAAUGAUUAAUAGGGAUAGUUGGGGGCAUUAGUAUUCA
This 322-nucleotide ribosomal RNA is filed under the name uncultured Glomeromycotina. RNAcentral's name for it is "SSU rRNA". It matches the Rfam family "Eukaryotic small subunit ribosomal RNA", at positions 569 to 900 of the family's 1831-position model. Lineage: Eukaryota; Fungi; Glomeromycota. The record is from RNAcentral.